GGAAUAUUUAAGCGUAGUGAUAUCCUGAUUUUACCGGAAGUUGAUGACAGACUGAUCACUGAUCUUCACAAAGUGAAACCUAAUGAAAUUUAGUAAAACAGUUAUUAAUAUUUGAAAAACAGAUUGAAUUUUGGUAAGAUACUAUGUUUUUUGUUGAAAUGCAUGAACUGAUUACAAAACCAUUCAUUCGAUCUCCCAUGAAGCCC
Molecule: long non-coding RNA, 206 nt
Filed under: Mytilus galloprovincialis (Mediterranean mussel)
Lineage: Eukaryota; Metazoa; Mollusca; Bivalvia; Mytilida; Mytilidae
Source: RNAcentral